AGCACGGUACAGCCAAAAGCCCA
Molecule: non-coding RNA, 23 nt
Filed under: Arabidopsis thaliana (thale cress)
Lineage: Eukaryota; Viridiplantae; Streptophyta; Magnoliopsida; Brassicales; Brassicaceae
Source: RNAcentral